RNAcentral lists this transfer RNA (27 nucleotides) under Lonicera elisae. RNAcentral's name for it is "partial tRNA-Cys". Lineage: Eukaryota; Viridiplantae; Streptophyta; Magnoliopsida; Dipsacales; Caprifoliaceae. The record is from RNAcentral.
CCCCGCCUUACACUCGGCCAUGCCGCC